RNAcentral lists this long non-coding RNA (4870 nucleotides) under Musa acuminata (dwarf banana). RNAcentral's name for it is "long non-coding RNA (MACU_LNC002086)". The record is from RNAcentral. Lineage: Eukaryota; Viridiplantae; Streptophyta; Magnoliopsida; Zingiberales; Musaceae.
AGAGCCAUUACCAGGUGCAAACCAGAAAUCUUCUGCUCACUGAUUAGAAAGUUGGAAUGACAACCUUUUGAAGGUAGCAAACCUGCUUGCAACCGCAAUUUCUGCUCUGGCAUUCUCUUGUUCUCCCAUUUCAAGCAACUCUAAUUACCUGCAGAAAGAUUUCCAAUUUCAACUUAAUUCAGGUGGUAGAGUUCAGAGGGAAUAACUUAAAGAGGAAUAGUCCUUUUUCCCUUCAGUUGUAUUGUAAAAACCAAUGCAGGUUUUUUUGCACUCAGAAAUAAACUGGUGCCUGUACAGGUGAAAGUUAUUUGGACAUGAUUUUUACAGAAAAUUUUCAGGAAACUACAACUUCACAUCGUUGAGAUGCAAAUCAAGGAGUAUAAUUCUAAAGUUAGCAAUUGAACAUGUUCCAAUUACAUAGAGUCAUCCAACAAUGUCUCUUUUAUAUAUGAGAUAAAUUCAACUUUGGAGUUUUAAACCUAGUUUAAAUUCUUUAGAUGGCAUCUGCUGGUGUGACAUUUAGUAAUCACCAACCAGGAUUCUUGGAUCAAAUGUGUUAUCAUAGGCAUACUGAUAAAAAGGAUCUAUAAUUCAGUCAUUCAAUAUUUACUAAGCUCAUUGCUUCUGCGAGUGACAAUUAACAGGAACUCAUGAGUUAGUAAACACAAAAUAAGUCUUCCAAGUUGUUUGAGAUAUGGAAGUUUGAUGCUUUAAAUUACCAAUUAAUUUGUAUAUCAUUUCCACUAAGUUGUUUGAGAUAUGGAAGUUUGAUGCUUUAAAUUACCAAUUAAUUUGUAUAUCAUUUCCACCAAGUUGUUUGAGAUAUGGAAGUUUGAUGCUUUAAACUACCAAUUAAUUUGUAUAUCAAAUGCCAAUGUCAUCUUAAUGGAGAAGAUGGCUAUCUAUUAGGUAAAUCGAACAUAUCAAACUUUAUGUUACAGGGAAAAGAUGAUCGGUAAAGGUAACCACUUUGAGGUUUUAUUUCAUUCCAAUUGAUCCCUGAAAAUUGAAUAUUUGGCUAAGCUAGUCGCUCAUGUUAUAAAUAUUGUCCACAUUCAUUAUAAAUUGCCUCAUCAGUGGAGCUAAGACUGUGUCAGAUGAAUCUAUAUGCAGAGAACAAUUCAGCAGUCUGCAGUUAACAUGUCACUUCAACUUUAACAUGUCAUAUUAGAAGACUGAAAGCUUAUGAUUAACUUUAGUUCUGCUUUUUCUUGACUGUGGUGUCUAAGUUUUACCUACCACUUUUCUGCCAAGGACUUCCCAACUUAAAUGGUUCCCAGUAAUCUAUCAUACUGCAUCCUUCAUUCUUUCAUCAUCAAGCAUGCAGGAAUAUUACUAUGAUCCAAAAUGCUGCUAGAUCAGUUGAGAUGUACAGAAAAAAUACAUGUCAUAGAAGGCUGUCGACCAAGCAGAAAAUGACAUGCUUGACUACUGAACAGGUCUGAGAGCCUUAUGGUGGUUAGAAGGAAUUAGAAAAUAAUAGCCAUGUGCCAUGUGCCAUGUGCUGCUGUGCAUGAACAUUCAUACUAUUAGACUCUAUUCAAUGGUAGUCGGUAUGCUAAUUUGAGAAUGUAUAAACAACCAAUAGAGCUCAAGCUAUCAAUUGUUUCUUACACAAUCUACUGCAAGUACUCAUAUUGAUAGUGCAUUCAUCACAUUUACUAUCAUGAGAUUUUAAUCACCAACUCAAAAAGGAAAGCAUUUCAUGCAGUGAAACCAAUUAUGAAGAGCUUGCUCUAGUUGGAUUAGUAUUAUGUUUCAGACCACUGAGAAAAUUUGUUGAUCAACUUCAUUCUGCUCGCUCUUCUAUCAUGAAAUUCUCUUACGCAGAUCAACGUAUUGACAUUGGCCUUUGGCACUAUAAUUAGGUUCCUCUAUUUCGAGAUGGGUAAUCAGGUUUGAGUCAUGAAAACGGUAUCUUUGUCUGCAGUGAUAAAGCUACAAGCUCUCUCUCAGAUUUUAUAUUGACAAGAAUCUCUCUCUCAGAUUUUAUAUUGAUAAGGGCCCCGUGCAUUGGACCAUCAUCACAGCAUUUCAUUGUACUGAUGGUUGUGGAAUCUUCCACAUAAAUAUAUUACUACAAAUCACCUAUUUGACUACCAACAUAGCCUGAUUAUUUGAGGGAACAUCUCCUUUAUGGUAUGUUACAAAUCUGCUGGUUUUGUGCAUUACCCUGUCUAAAUCCAAUUCCCUUGGCCCUUUAGGUCAAGGCAAGAACACUUGAUUGUUCCCCGAAAUUUAAGGGCUCAUGCACUAGAGAAUAAAACAGGAAGCACCAUUUCUCUCAUGAUGUGUUUUCCCCACCUUCCAAAGUGCAAGCAGAUGGACAUUUUAUUUAUUAUAUAUGCAAAAUAAUCCAUAAAUAUAAAUCUUACAGAACUUCUUUGGAGCUCUUUCACUCUUAUUCCCGCUUAGAAGGUUGAUUGUAUGCUAACCUUCAACCUAGCUUCCUUGCUUGACAUGCCAAAAACAGACAUCUCUAAAUGCAUUUGCUUAUGGGAAACUAUGACAUUAUUAAAAACAUCAAGCAAUUACUUCUUCAGUUGUCAUUAUUCCUAGUGUUACCUAUCAAAGAUGAUUUAGAGAAGUUACUAAAGAUUGCCUCAUUUGGAGUCAUUUCAAUUUUAUAAGCAAUUACUUUUUCUCUCCCUCUUUCUAUUUUUCCUUGAUUUGACAAUAAAAAAAACAAGAGAAUAUGUGUAUAUUUUAUUAUUUCUGAAAACUACAAUUUUAUCGGUUAAGCGGUCCUAAUCAAGAACAUACAUUGGAAUUCUUUGUACAACUAUUGAAGUCAAAACAAGGAGCCCCUUUGAUCGUGCCCUUUGGUUGAAUGGAAAAAGGCCUGCCUAAUUGAUUUUAGUGGAACAAGGACACCGUCCAAUUAUGUAUUAUGGAACAACCAGUUCCUUACUAGCAUCUACUAGUCCUUGUUCACCUAUCUGUCAUCAUGACAUGUAAGGAAAAAUUAUCCACUGUCACCAACUCCUGAAAAAUUGCUAAGAUCAUUGGAGUACAUUAAACGCCAUCACUUUGAUUAAAGUAAAUGAAACCGCAAGCAUACAUGGAAAAUAAUUAUUCCAUUGAAGGCCACAAGUGUUCUUUCUCUUUUGGUGAUCAUAGGCGUACGAUUUGAGGCUUAGGCACAAGGACUGUGAUAAAAUCAUUCUAAAAACAUCACAAAGCCCAUGAAAGUUGGAUAUAAUCCCAUGGUGAAAUAGAUAUACAUGAAACUCAACAUGACAUCCAUAAAGGAUAAUACACUGACAUUUUUCAAUCUUAGUUUCCAAUCCUUGCUCCCUAAGAACAAAAGAAUAACAGUAAAAAGAGAAAUUAACAUAGCCAAUGACAUCUUUAUUCUCAGGUUUUCUUAAUAAUAUUUUCCAUUCUCAAAUAAAGAAACUUCAAAAUAGAAUAUCAACCAAGACUUAAUCGAGAUAGCAUCAUUCCAAUUUAUGAUGUCAAGAAAUGAGUGAAUAAUGAUCCAAAUUUAAAUUAAAAAAAGCAUAUCAAGAUCCUAAACCAUCCCAAGAUGCAAGUAUACUCACCUAUGGCGUCCUCCUCGACACCCUAGCUUUGUGAGAUGCCAAAGCCUACACUUGGUGUUGUACCUGAGGAAUAAGGAACAAGCGGAUAAGGACUUCGAGCAAUAAAGAUAGGGUAUGUGCAUGACACGAUGAUUAGCUGAUGGAGAGUAAAGCAUUUAUACCCACAUAUCUUGCAUAUCUCAGAAUGUUAUACGUAGGAAAGUUGAAAAAACUAGGGCAAUAGAUAGAGCCCAUCAUUAUUUCAUUUGCUUGAAUUAGAUAAUAGAAAAAAGUUUUAUUUUUUUGCUGAAAUAGUAAGUCGUGUCAAUUCCGAUUCUUUCUGAACUGUGUAAGACUACCAAAUCUCUCAACAGUGAUAUUUGAAUGGCAACUCAUAGGAAGAGACAUAAGCAAAGUUUCUUCACCAUAGCAAGCCACUUCCUCCAACGUUUGGUAAUCUUUUUUUAUUUUCAGGUGGAAUAACAGCAUACUGAUCACUAACAAGAACUCAUUUUUAAACCAUAAUCUCCACAUCAUCUAAGGAGGUGCAAUCAAUCAGAAAGUUAUCCCUAAACAAGUGCUAAUUUUCACAUCAACUGGCCAAAGAGAAAUCAAUAGUUUAAUGGAGGAACAAAAUAAGAAUCCAGGAGUAGUACCUGCAAUGGGUUAGAGUGGGUUAGAGAAGAGGUUUCAAGAGCCAAUCUCUCAACCUCAUGAUUGAAUCCCCAUUAUCCUUCUCUCGCAAUUCCUGAAGUCACUGUAUAAAGGGAAACAUAAUCCAUAGAUGGAGUAAAAAGAGGAAACAUAAGAUAGACGAGGCUCAGAUAUGCUCCCUAUUGACAUCAUUCUCUGCAUGUCUCCCAUCUCUAUGGGUGUGACAUGAAGGAUAUGGCUGCAACGGUUGCCAACCGCAGAGCAGCAGACCAUCCAAUUGAAUUGCCAUAAAAAUAUAAAUCACAACCCUAUAAUAAGAAAGAAAUGGGUAUGUCAAGGCAUCAAAAACCCUAAACCAUGACCAACAGUAACACAAUGCAGAGAAUUAACCAGAUGGGCAAAAUCAUCAUAGCCUCAAGAAAAAAAAAGAGAGAGAAAAAAAAGCAGGCAGCAGUAGUUGGAUCCCCUCCAUGACAGUCCAUCUCCAUUCUACUCCCUGAUUUCCAGGGUUAUAUAUGCAUAAAAAGAAAAGGUCCAAUACAAAUUCAUAGACAAAUAUCACAAGCAUUCAGAAAUCAAGAAUAUAUUUUUCAUAAAAAAUCAAUUAAAUAAGCAUACAGUUCUAAGUAAAUUAUAACAUCCUGCUAUUUGCAUACGAGAACUUAGAUGAUGAGAUUCAUAUACAAAUGUAG